RNAcentral lists this ribosomal RNA (565 nucleotides) under Limnonectes sp. n. ML-2020. Its description in RNAcentral is "partial large subunit ribosomal RNA". It matches the Rfam family "Bacterial large subunit ribosomal RNA", at positions 1808 to 2601 of the family's 2925-position model. The record is from RNAcentral. Lineage: Eukaryota; Metazoa; Chordata; Amphibia; Anura; Dicroglossidae.
CAAAAACAUCGCCUCUUGAUUAACUAUAAGAGGUCCAGCCUGCCCAGUGACACACUUAAACGGCCGCGGUACCCUGACCGUGCGAAGGUAGCAUAAUCACUUGUUCUUUAAAUAAGGACUCGUAUCAACGGCAUCACGAGGGUUAUACUGUCUCCCUACUCUAAUCAGUGAAACUGACUUCCCCGUGAAGAGGCGGGGAUAAAAAUACAAGACGAGAAGACCCCAUGGAGCUUUAAACCCAAUGACAACCUCUACUAAGCACGCCCACAAAACAUAGAAACCCUGUCCAUUGGUUUUAGGUUGGGGUGACCACGGAGUAUAACUUAGCCUCCAUGACGAAUAGAUUUUCAACCUAAUUUAAGAGCUACAGCUCUAAAAAUCAAAAAUUUGACGCAAUGUGAUCCGGUAACCGAUCAACGAACCAAGUUACCCUGGGGAUAACAGCGCAAUCCAUUUCAAGAGCUCUUAUCGACAAAUGGGUUUACGACCUCGAUGUUGGAUCAGGGUAUCCCAGUGGUGCAGCCGCUACUAAAGGUUUGUUUGUUCAACAAUUAAAACCCUACGU